This is a long non-coding RNA of Zalophus californianus (California sea lion), 746 nucleotides long. RefSeq lists it as uncharacterized. Lineage: Eukaryota; Metazoa; Chordata; Mammalia; Carnivora; Otariidae. The record is from RefSeq and is a predicted model, not a curated record. The transcript has 3 exons.
AGACCGCCCUUCGCAGGUCCCCGAGUGGCCGUCACACACCGCCCCGGGAGAUGAACUUCCUCCACACCUCUCUCUGCCUAGCAAGCUUCUGCUUAUCCUUUGAACCCAGCCCAAACCGCACCUCCUCUUUGAAGCUUUUCAUGCGUCUCUAGGCAACGAGGUGUGACCAUCUGUAGUAGUUAACAAUGUGAGCUUUGGAGCCAGGUUGCCUGCCUUCAAAUCCUGGCUUUGCCGUCUUCUUCGCUGUAUGGUCUUAGCCCACCCACCCAAGUCACUGGAUGGUCAUUUCUGGACUGAGUAGCUCGUGGUACCAGUGUGGUUGUCUGUAUCCCAAAGAAUGCCCAGGUUCUGGCAUCGCCUGCUCCUGUGACCUCCAAGGGAGCCAAUGCCUCUGGAAAAUGCAAAUCUGGAAGGAUUCAGUUUCCAAUGUCCAAUAACCAGGAAUUGGGUGCAGAAGAAUGAUACGGAAAUGUGUGCAUGAUAAACUAUGAAAUGAACAGAGCGUUUUGACUCAAGAUAUUUUCCAUUUUUACUAAAAAAACAAAACACAGAAGACAAAAUAAAAAUGUAUCAUGAUGACAUGCACACAAAGGAAGAGAAGAACCUAACCCAAAAUAUCAUUACUUCCAAGUGCUGGGACUGUAGGAGGAAUUUUGCUUUCUUCUGUUUGCUUGUAUUUAUUUUUGCAGUCUCUUAAAUAAACAAACAAGCAAAAAAAAAAAAAAACCACCAAAAACCCCACCCCA